RNAcentral lists this ribosomal RNA (253 nucleotides) under uncultured prokaryote. RNAcentral's name for it is "partial 16S ribosomal RNA". It matches the Rfam family "Bacterial small subunit ribosomal RNA", at positions 547 to 777 of the family's 1533-position model. The record is from RNAcentral.
CCUUCUUUUUCCCGCUUUCUCCGGAUUCACUGGGUUUAAAGGGUGCGUAGGUGGGUUGGUAAGUCAGUGGUGAAAUCUCCGAGCUUAACUUGGAAACUGCCGUUGAUACUAUCAGUCUUGAAUAUUGUGGAGGUUAGCGGAAUAUGUCAUGUAGCGGUGAAAUGCUUAGAUAUGACAUAGAACACCAAUUGCGAAGGCAGCUGGCUACACGAAUAUUGACACUGAGGCACGAAAGCGUGGGGAUCAAACAGGA